Molecule: ribosomal RNA, 460 nt
Filed under: uncultured bacterium
Lineage: Bacteria
Description: partial 16S ribosomal RNA
Rfam family: Bacterial small subunit ribosomal RNA
Source: RNAcentral
CCUACGGGGUGCAGCAGUGAGGAAUAUUGGUCAAUGGCCGUAAGGCUGAACCAGCCAAGUCGCGUGAAGGAAGAAGGAUCUAUGGUUUGUAAACUUCUUUUAUAGGGGAAUAAAGGUAUCCACGUGUGGCUAUUUGCAUGUACUCUAUGAAUAAGCAUAGGCUAACUCCGUGCCAGCAGCCGCGGUAAUACGGAGGAUGCGAGCGUUAUCCGGAUUUAUUGGGUUUAAAGGGAGCGUAGGUGGUUGUUUAAGUCAGCGGUGAAAGUUUGUGGCUCAACCAUAAAAUUGCCGUUGAUACUGGAAGACGUGAGUGUGUUUGAGGUAGGCGGAAUGCGUGGUGUAGCGGUGAAAUGCAUAGAUAUCACGAAGAACUCCGAUUGUGAAGGCAGCUUACUAAGCCAUCACUGACACUGAGGCACGAAAGCGUGGGGAUCAAACAGGAUUAGAUACCCGUGUAGUC